This 490-nucleotide ribosomal RNA is filed under the name uncultured bacterium. RNAcentral describes it as "partial 16S ribosomal RNA". It matches the Rfam family "Bacterial small subunit ribosomal RNA", at positions 30 to 507 of the family's 1533-position model. The record is from RNAcentral.
AUUGAACGCUGGCGGCAGGCCUAACACAUGCAAGUCGAACGGUAACAGGAAGCAGCUUGCUGCUUCGCUGACGAGUGGCUGACGGGUGAGUAAUGUCUGGGAAACUGCCUGAUGGAGGGGGAUAACUACUGGAAACGGUAGCUAAUACCGCAUAACGUCGCAAGACCAAAGAGGGGGACCUUAGGGCCUCUUGCCAUCGGAUGUGCCCAGAUGGGAUUAGCUAGUAGGUGGGGUAACGGCUCACCUAGGCGACGAUCCCUAGCUGGUCUGAGAGGAUGACCAGCCACACUGGAACUGAGACACGGUCCAGACUCCUACGGGAGGCAGCAGUGGGGAAUAUUGCACAAUGGGCGCAAGCCUGAUGCAGCCAUGCCGCGUGUAUGAAGAAGGCCUUCGGGUUGUAAAGUACUUUCAGCGGGGAGGAAGGGAGUAAAGUUAAUACCUUUGCUCAUUGACGUUACCCGCAGAAGAAGCACCGGCUAACUCCGUG